AAAAUUAUUUAAGUAGAUGACUAACAUACAUAAUUGUCUUUUUUAUUUCUUCAAGAAUUCUAUUAACCCUAUUUUACUUAUGAUGUCCUUGGAGCUGAAAUAAUUGAAUUUAAUAUUAUUUUCUGUAUAACCUUAAUCAGGAUUUUGGUUUUCAACACUGUGCCAUGAUCUUCACAGUUUGGAAACCUUUUUCAUUUGAAACGCUUUUACAAGAUUUAGUAAAUACAGAAAAAUACUUCAGUUUUAUUUUCCAAGAACAAAUCCAAUGUAAGCUUUUGAAAACUUAGAGAUGGAAACAACAUCUUUAGAUUUAGAAGUGAUUUUUGUUUGUUUUCUUAGUUAGCAUGUAUAGCAAAACUUUGACCUUUAAGUAGAUAAUCUAAGUAAGCCUAUGGCAAGGUCUUUUGAGAUUAAGUACAUACUAGCAUGAGUUGAUUCUAUGUGCCAAGGAUGGUUUCUUUAAUCUUGGUAUUCAUAGUGCAUAUAUUCAAAAGCAUACCAAGUA
Molecule: long non-coding RNA, 505 nt
Filed under: Phoenix dactylifera (date palm)
Lineage: Eukaryota; Viridiplantae; Streptophyta; Magnoliopsida; Arecales; Arecaceae
Description: long non-coding RNA (PDAC_LNC010160)
Source: RNAcentral